Non-coding RNA from Schistosoma margrebowiei, 46 nucleotides. Lineage: Eukaryota; Metazoa; Platyhelminthes; Trematoda; Strigeidida; Schistosomatidae. The record is from Rfam.
GCACUGCUGAGGAGCCCAAUACUAGGACGAAACGAUCGUCCAGUGC